UUUAUCCUAAAGUUUCAGAAUCAACUCUUCUGACAUUCUUCAAACUAAUCUUCCACUUUUUUUUCUCUCAUUUCAAACAAAUAAGAAGAAAAGGAAGAAAAAAAAAACUACUCGCCGGUUGUCCGGCGACUUCUCCGAUCAAUUUUUCGGUGACAGUGCAAAAGCUAUAUAUAUUUGUAUAUUCGUUCAGUUUCUCGAGUUUGGUUACAACUUUGUGUGUAUAUAGAAAUGGAUUUGAUAGAAGGUGUAGGUGAGAAUUCGUCACCGCCGAGGAGUAUUGGGAGCUGUGCAGUGUAUGAUAUUAAAAACGAUGUGUAUAAUCGUCUUGUAGAAACUGGAAAUCCUGAGGCAGUUACUAAUCCGGAGCUGCUUCGUGAACACUUGGAUUCUCACUUUGCUCGCUUGCCUGUUAGUUAUGGGUUGGAUAUUAAUGUGGAUAAAGCGGAAGAUGUGUUGUUGCAUCAGAAGAUUCUUGUUAGAGCAAAAGAACCCGAUAACCGGCCUGUUUAUCAUGUCCGAUUUUUAGAGAAUUAUUGGACUAGAUUUGAUGAUGCAAAGGGUCAGGAUGACUUCAAUGAUUUUAUGACUUCAAAGGCAGGUGGAAGCUUAAAUGAUAAAGGGAUAAGGAAGGGUAUGAAUGACUUUGAAACUUUCUCUAAGCUUGAGGACCUAAAUUUGGAUGUUAGGAAGAAUUUUAAUGACAAAGAAGAAAUUCUAGCAGAAGAUUCUAGCCGAAGGCAUGAAGUUUCAUGUAUUCUAGUCCAUGAAGUUAUCUUUUCCACCAUUGACAAACCCAAGCUUCUUAGUCAGCUCUCUGCUUUACUUUCUGACAUAGGGCUUAAUAUCCGAGAAGCUCAUGUUUUCUCAACAAUUGAUGGGUACUCAUUAGAUGUAUUUGUGGUGGAUGGAUGGCCUGUUGAGGAUACAAAGUCUUUGCAUGAAGAAUUGGGGAAAGCGAUUGCCAGAAGUGAGGGAACGUGGUCAGGUUCAUCUCAUUCUAGGUCAGCUGCUGAAAAAGUUAUAAUCGCACAAUCAAAACCCGAGGACUGGGAAAUUGAUAAAAGAUUACUGAAGAUUGGAGAAAGAAUUGCAUCAGGAUCUUGUGGCGAUUUGUAUCGUGGGAUGUAUCUUGGUAUGGAUGUUGCAAUCAAGGUCCUUAGAUCUGAGCAUUUGAAUGACACAUUGGAAGAUGAGUUCGCUCAAGAAAUAGCAAUUUUGAAGCAAGUUCAGCACAGAAAUGUUGUUCGUUUCAUUGGUGCAUGCACAAAUUCGCCUCAUUUGUGUAUAAUUACAGAAUUCAUGCCUGGUGGGAGCUUGUAUGAGUACCUGCAUAAAAACCAUGUUGUAUUGAAGCUCUCGCAAUUGCUAAGCUUUGCAAUUGAUGUCUGCAAAGGAAUGGAGUACUUGCAUCAAAACAAUAUCAUUCACAGGGAUUUGAAGGCGGCAAAUUUACUUAUGGAUUCAGACAAUGUUGUUAAAGUGGCAGAUUUUGGUGUUGCACGUUUCCAAAAUAAUGGAGGUGUCAUGACAGCUGAGACUGGAACAUAUAGAUGGAUGGCUCCUGAGUUGUGGAUGGAGCUCACUUGAGUUUGGACAGUCAAAUAUAAAGGCUUGCUAGCUUGUUGUGCUGCUGGAAUCUCUUUGCAGCUACUUUGGUUGAAAAGGAAUGAUUCAUAUAUAUGCUUAUUUUGAUAAUAUAAAUCUGAGAUCCCUCUUGUUUUCUGAAUUUCAUCGACACUCACUUGUAUAUUGAAAUGUUAAUAUUUUUAUGACUGUAUUAGUUUACUUACCAUUCCUUUGUUGCAUAGCAUAACAUAUAAUGUAUAACAAUUAAAAAUUACAUUGUUGUACAAGGGUGUUUGAGACAUUUGGGAAGUCUUCACAUUGAUACUGAUGCUCCUUUGUCAUGCCGCUAUUGUGACUUAUUGCCAUGCUCGAAAAUAUGUAUAGUGUUUCCUCACAGUCAGGGGAACGCUUUUAAAUAUAUUUUGCUUAGAAACUAAGGGGGUAGGUUUUUUAUUUGGGGGGGGGGGGCUUCUCGUUUAGUUAUUACUACAGCAGUGUGCAAGAUCUUGGUCAUGUUUCCAUGCUUUUCUAUGAUAGAGGAGUAUCUUCUGUGCUUUCUUUGUUUCCUCUACCCUGUUUGAUGAUAAUUUAUUAACACCAAGGGCUGCAUUUUGUGGCUAAUGUAUAUGAAGUAUAUUACCACGUGCAUAACUAUCUUGUGCUGCUGCAAACUUUGGUCUAUUAACCUUUUUUUUUAGAUCAUCAAUCAUCAGCCCUACGAUCAGAAAGCAGAUGUGUUUAGUUUUGCCAUUGUUAUUUGGGAGCUUUUAACAGCAAAGGUUCCAUAUGAUA
Molecule: RNA transcript, 2358 nt
Organism: Solanum lycopersicum (tomato)
Lineage: Eukaryota; Viridiplantae; Streptophyta; Magnoliopsida; Solanales; Solanaceae
Gene name: serine/threonine-protein kinase STY46-like
Source: RefSeq, a predicted model, not a curated record